RNAcentral lists this ribosomal RNA (468 nucleotides) under uncultured bacterium. RNAcentral describes it as "partial 16S ribosomal RNA". It matches the Rfam family "Bacterial small subunit ribosomal RNA", at positions 28 to 507 of the family's 1533-position model. The record is from RNAcentral.
GACGAACGCUGGCGGCGUGCUUAACACAUGCAAGUCGAACGGAAAGGCCCUGCUUUUGUGGGGUGCUCGAGUGGCGAACGGGUGAGUAACACGUGAGUAACCUGCCCUUGACUUUGGGAUAACUUCAGGAAACUGGGGCUAAUACCGGAUAGGAGCUCCUGCUGCAUGGUGGGGGUUGGAAAGUUUCGGCGGUUGGGGAUGGACUCGCGGCUUAUCAGCUUGUUGGUGGGGUAGUGGCUUACCAAGGCUUUGACGGGUAGCCGGCCUGAGAGGGUGACCGGCCACAUUGGUACUGAGGUACGGCCCAGACUCCUACGGGAGGCAGCAGCGGGGAAUAUUGCACAAUGGGCGGAAGCCUGAUGCAGCAACGCCGCGUGCGGGAUGACGGCCUUCGGGUUGUAAACCGCUUUCGCCUGUGACGAAGCGUGAGUGACGGUAAUGGGUAAAGAAGCACCGGCUAACUACGUG